This 383-nucleotide unclassified non-coding RNA is filed under the name soil metagenome. RNAcentral's name for it is "partial contains 5.8S ribosomal RNA, internal transcribed spacer 2, and large subunit ribosomal RNA". The stretch from base 1 to 120 matches the Rfam family "5.8S ribosomal RNA", at positions 35 to 154 of the family's 154-position model. The record is from RNAcentral.
GAUGAAGAACGUAGCGAAAUGCGAUAAGUAAUGUGAAUUACAGAAUUCAGUGAAUCAUCGAAUCUUUGAACGCACCUUGCGCUCCUUGGUAUUCCGAGGAGCAUGCCUGUUUGAGUGUCAUGAAAUUCUCAACCUUUCUGGCUUUUGCUAGUCAGGCUUGGAUUAUGGGAGCUGCUGGCUUUUGAAGUCGGCUCUUCUAAAAUGUAUUAGCAAGAUCAUUGCUGCUCAUCAUUGGUAUGAUAAUUAUCUAUAUCAUUGAGAGUCAGUUUCCUUUAUUGGAAGAUUUUGCUCCUAACGGUCUUUAGCAAGACAACAUUUGACGAUUUUGACCUCAAAUCAGGUAGGACUACCCGCUGAACUUAAGCAUAUCAAUAAGCGGAGGA